AGGGGCGUAGCUCAGUUGGUAGAGCGUCGGUCUCCAAAACCGAAGGUCCAGAGUUCGAGUCUCUGUGCCCCUG
RNAcentral lists this transfer RNA (73 nucleotides) under Erythrobacter longus. It matches the Rfam family "tRNA". Rfam says of the family: Transfer RNA (tRNA) molecules are approximately 80 nucleotides in length. Their secondary structure includes four short double-helical elements and three loops (D, anti-codon, and T loops). The record is from Rfam by way of RNAcentral. RNAcentral also lists the same sequence under 4 other names. Lineage: Bacteria; Pseudomonadati; Pseudomonadota; Alphaproteobacteria; Sphingomonadales; Erythrobacteraceae.